UUAACUCUGGACUUCUUACAAAUUAUAAUUUGUAUUUCUUCCACCAAUGUUCAAAAUGAACUUGAAAACUCCUGUAGUUGCAUUGGGUUAUCUCACUCCAUGAUAAAAUGCUAUAAUGCCCCUGAAUAAAACACAGAAACGGUUCCAGUGAUUGAAAAGAGCUUCCCUCCGGCAAUGAAAACUAUCCUCCUUUUGCAACAUUUCUGUUUAAACUGGAUAUUUAUUUCACACGCCCAAACAGGCAAACAAAAGAUUACGAAUAUGUGAUCCCAGACAGGGGAUCGGGCAGGAUUUUAGUUACUUGCAGUGUUCUGAGACUGAGGUUAGAACCCAGGGGUCGCUUUGCAUUGCACAUUUUGCAAGCUGUUUAGAAAACACCUUUUGUCACUACUGGCUUUUCGGGGUGAAAAGCAAAACCGCUGCAUUUGUUUGCUGCAAAAAUGGACCUGAGAUACUGCCAGAAGAUGUCGCCCUUCCACUGCUGGCGCCGCCCAUUCGCUCCACAAAUCAUAUCAAGGUGAUACCAGUAUUUCAUGUCAGUGUGUAAGGUAAUUAGCGCCGGCUAAAACUAAGGUCUCAACGUGCAAUCUGUUCGUGGCGAUUAAAGACGAGUCCGGGAGAUUGCGCAAGUUAAAAUAAAACUCACCGCCGGGAAAGUAUAAUAUAUCUUCAAACAAAUCAUAAAGACUCUUUUCUGUCAUUGUGGAUGUGAAGAACUUGGAAUGUUUCCUGGUAAUUUUGCAGUGCUUUAAAAUACAUGCUACAUCAGCAUCAUCAUUUAACUGGUAACUAGCUCUCAUUGGGAAAGAAAACAAAGCGGUAUGGAACGUCACAGUUUGUACAAGAUUCUGCAAAUACCGUUUCAUUAAGAAAAGGAAAGACGAAGAAUAUGUAAGAAUUGUGUGACAGCUGCGAGACCCACGACGUGUCAUUUCAACUAGAAUAAUGUGGAAAUAAGCGGCUGUUUUGAAUGAAAUUGACGAGGAAUUGCAUUGGUUGCUCGUGGGGCCGGUGGCGAAGUCAAAACUUGCCAGGAGGACCUUUCAGCUGCAGGGUUUUGUACAUGAAGAUUUUUUGAAAUGAAAGCACCUGGAAGUUUGCGUGCAACCAGUCUGUUGAAAGUAAACCGGAUACAUUCAUGUUCUGAAACAUAGUACCGACGAAAACGCAUGGAAGAUAACUAGUAAGACUGAAGUAUUACAAGAGUCUCAAAUCUGGCUGUUCAGUUUUCUUCCUGGAAUUAGAACAGCAUGAGGCCUGGUCUGCCGAUCUAAGCAAUGCCGUUGGAGACACAGAUGCAUCCUGGUACAGUGGAUGUAAUGCGAUGAAAGAUAUCCUGGCUAACAAAUAGUACGAUGGAAACUAAUUGAAAACAAUAUAGCCCAAACAAGAAGUCUCUCAAAAGGCUUCAACAGCUAUAACACAAUUGAAAAAGAACGGAUAUGGAGUCAAAAAAGCUAUAAGAAACAGACAUACCGAAGAGUGGCUGAAUGUCUGGAGAAGUCAGCAAAUCUGCCUUUCAAAAAUAGUCUUGGACACUACCUUGAGGAAGCCCAGCUGUGAUACCCUAGAAUGGAGAUAUUUGACCCCCAGUCAACACAACCAUUUUAAUUCGUACUGGUGCAAGAGACAAGAUGUCAUGGAGUGGCUGAAGGACAUUCUUCUGGGGCAGAAUAAACAACCAGAGAUCAUAGUCCAUCUUCGUUCCAAUGACUUAGGAAGAUUUUGGAGCCCAUGGCAAAACUCGCAUUUAUUGCCCAUCCCUAAUUGCUCUUGAGAAGGUGAUAAUGAGUCACUUUUUGAACACAACAGAUGACAAGCUUGGACCAUUGAAAAGGAAAAUUAAGAGCCAACCUGGAGUUACAUAAUAGCCACACAUUGAAAUUAUGGCGGAUUUCCUCCCUUAAAGGAUAUUGUUGGAACUAAAUGGCCUGCGUUUUUUAUCCCCUGUAUGUUACCUGCAAUAGUGCUUUUGUAUUUCCUUUCAUGUAAAUAUUUGUGUUCAUAGCAUUUUUGUAAAUGUGCCUCAGUCUGCCUGCAUUCAUAUGUGCAUGUGUAUCCAUGUAUUUGAGAAUGUUUUUGUGCAUAUUGUUACCUCAAAAAAUAUCAUUUUAUAAUCAUCCAGAAUCCCAAGCAUAAAAUCAGUGAUGCAAUGUUGUCAAGACCAAUCCUAUUAAAUUUAGGGUCGAAGUGUUAGGCAUUGGAGGCUUGGUGAAGUUUAAGAUUACUCAGAGACAGAAAUAAUGAUUGCAGGUUUAUCAAAAAUGAAAAUGUUGAAUCUGGAGGAAGGAAAUCUGUAAAUGAAAAUCUAUGACUCUUUAAUAAUAUUUUUAGCUAUUCAUAUCUAAUGUGAUAAAGAGGUGCAUGCAUAUGAUAUCUUUUACAUUGAAGAUUAUACAUAUAGAUCAAAUAAAUUGUGCCAGACAUUAGCUAUCAUUGUGAAAUCUGAUUUACUCUUUACAUCCUUAUCAAGAACACCAACUGCAGGCCAAGACAAAAUUAGUGCCCCAGUUCUAAUGGGGCUAUUUAGAAAAGAAUCUGUGUUAACAAACAUUUCCUAUUGGUUUGUGUGCCUUUGCAGCUCAAUUCCCCAAGUCUAAACAUCCAAUGUAAUUGUCUUAUUCAGAGAUAUUUUCUUUCAGAUGUGCUCUUGAAAUGGGAGUGAAAGCAAGAGAAUGCUAACAUAGAGAAAAUGACCUAACUCAUGUGAAUGGAAAAGGGGAUGUUACAUGCAUAGACCUGAUAUCUCCCACUCAUAUUUUCCUUCUGACAAGAAAAUAAGAGUUUAACACUGAAUCUCAAAAUGCUUAAUAGUCAAAAUAGAGGGAAAGUAGAGACAAUGUGAAUAUGGAAAUGAGAAGCAGACAAAUGGGGCCUGUAAACGUUGAUACAUAAGAAAAGAAUAUAGUCUGGCAGUUCUCUGUGAACUAUAUGCCAAAAAGGAAUUGCUCAAAUGUACUCUCCAUCCAACAUUAACAGAACUUCCAUAGAAAUCAGAAAGUGCUGGAGAAACUCAGGACACCUGACAUUAUGUGGAGAGUUAAUGUUUUGAAUUCAAUAUGACUCUUUUAGAAGAGUCAUAUGGGACUCAUCACGCUGGAUUUGACACAUUAACUCUAUUUCUGUCUCCACAGAUGAUGCCAGUCAUGCUGAGUUUCUCCAAUGUUUUCUGAUAUUUAAUUUAGCUGGGUUUCUUUUUGUUCCAGUGACAUGUAACAUCUUUGAGCGAUUCGCGAAAUUGCGUGUUCUUCUUGCUUCCUCCAGAGGUGACUGUGAUCUCAAAAGCCAAAAAGAACAAGUAGCAAAAAGACAUAGAAGGUAAUUUUGUCAAUAGCACUUGCUUCCUGAUGUCCACUGUCUUGCUAUUUCUUAUCUCAGUUCUGUACUGCUACCUCACAGCACCAGGGACCCGGGUUCAAUUCCACCCUUGGGUGACUGUCUGUGUGGAGUUUGCACAUUCACCCCAUGUCUGUGUGGGUUUCCUUCAGGUGCUCCCACAAUGCAAAGAUGUACAAGCUAGGUGGCUUGGCCGUGCUAAAUCACCCACGGUAGCCAGGGAUGUUUAGGUUAGAUGGGUUGACAUGGGGAUAUGCAGGGGUAGGCAAAUGAGUCGGGGUGGGGUGCUCCUCAGAAGGACAGUGUGGACAAAUUGGGCCGAAAAGCAUAUUUCCACAAUGUAGGGAUUCUAUGAUUCUAAUUGCAAUUAAAAUGUAAAGUCUUAGUUGUAUGCAUGGGAGAUCUGAGGAGUUCUACAGCAGAAGACUUUUAUUGUGGUGAAACCUGCUGUCAGCUGAUAAUACAGCAGGUAUAAAUGGGUUAUAAAAGGUCUCCUGAUCAUGCAUCAAAAACAAAACUUGCAUACCCAAUUGUAACACAGGUAUUUAUCAAAUAUAAAUUUUACUUUAAGAUAUUUCACAUUGUAUUGGCUCCAUAUUAUUCACAUGCACAUCACCAUUAUUUGUUGUGCCUGACUUAGUCGUGAAGCUGACUGAAUUACCACACUUCAUGGUUGGCAUGCAUUGGUAGUUGCAGAGAUAGUAAGAACUGCCGAUGCUGGAGGGACUUUAUGAACUUCAAAAUCUCCCCAUCCCCGACCUCAUCCCAAGACCAACCCUCCCUCUUGUCCCUGCCUCCUUGACCUGUCCAUCUUUUCUCCCAUCUAUCUGCUUCUCCCACUUCACUGACCAAUCCCCUCCCCAACUUCCCACCUACACUCACCCCUACCAGCUUCAUCCCUGUCUCUUUGACCUGUCCAUCUUCCCUCCCACCUACUGGCCCCUCCCUCCUCACUGACCAACCCCCAUCCUAACUCCCUACCUACACUCAUCUUUACUACCUUCAUCCCCACCUCCUUGACCUGUCCUUCUUCUCUCAACCUAUCUGCUCAGGGAUCCACAUUCUAUCAUCGUGACCUCUCACUAUUUACUUCAGAGCCUCCUCCCCCUCCCCCAUUUCUGAAAAGAUGUCCAGACCCGAAACGGCAGCUUUCCUGCUCCUCUGAUGCUGCCUCGCCUGCUCUGUUCAUCCAGCUCCACACCUAAGUAGUUGCAGAGUUGCUGAGAAGAUUUCAUUUUUUUGUUGAAGAAACAAUGUCUAUUUUUUGGUCAUUUUUUAUUGAAUCUUGAUGUUUGUGCCCAGUAUUAUUCUCAUCACUGUGUGGCAUAUUACUGAACUUGCAGUCUCAGUUGGCCCUUCCUUCUACGCAACAUGAAGGAGAUUGUCUAACUUCAUUUUCAGUGUGGAUAAAUGAGCCACUGUAGUUGAACUCAAAACUCUGCAAGGACGCUGUCAGACAGUGCACUGAGAUGGGCACACUGAAAACACUGAAACUGUCCUUUAAACCUCUUAUUUUCUGAUUUUGUCUUAAUGAUACCAUCAUGCUCCACUCCUAACAAUACCCAGGGCACCAGCCCCAUCCUCCUCCAUGCCUUUUGUCCUGCCCUCUACCUUCCCUAGGUUUCAUCCUCCACUCUUCUAUGCCCCUGAUUGCAACCACGCGCACAUGCUAUGACCAUUGACCAAUCCUUACCUUGAUGUGACUGCCAUUCAUCUGUCCCCUUUCCUUGUCCUUUUGAAUUAAACAAGGAAAGCCACUGACCUUAUGUACAAUUGCACAAAGUCAAUGGGUGCAAACUACUUGGAUGACAUAAGAUUCAUAACUUUAUCCUGAAGGACAUUAUUUUUAAAAGUUUCACAGCUCUGAGUGUUCAUGGUAUGUAAAACUAGUAUGAACUCACCACAGGAUAGAGUGAGGCUUGACACACCGCAAACAUGCCAUUUCAUUUUUGCAUCUCAACCUGCUAUCAGGAGACGGUGAUUUUGCACCUCACCAAAUUAAGUCACUCUGCUUGGUAUGAUUUCUACUCUUGCAAGUUCCAUGACAUUCUCCCUGGGGUGGGGAAAAGCUCACAUCAUGAAUACAAAAUGGAAUGGUAGUGAAUUAAUUUCAUUGGAAAAGAAAAUCAGAUUUGAUAUAAAAUGAUCUGCUAAUUCAUAAUGAACCCAUUUUAUGCUUUUGAUAAAGAAAAAUUUCAUCUUUAUAACAAGUAAUUUUUUUAUUAUUACAGUAUGACACUGACUCCACUGGGACAGACAUUCCCUCCACAUCACAUCUACUGCAGUUUAAAUGAAACUGGGUGCUACACCAGAGCAGGGUUUCUUUUAUAACUGCAGGACUUGCACACUUAAAGGAAGCUUUUUGGCACGGUUGUACAAAAAUACGCAGAGAAUUUAUAGAAGGAUAAAAGAUGAGCCCUAUGCCACAGAAUUCCCAGCCAAAAAGUGAGACCGCACAGAGAAAGGCACGAGGCAGAUCACUGGAAAAGACGUCAAAAGGAGAAAUUAAAGGAAGAAGACCUAUCGCGGUAAUUGCUGGUAUUUUCAGGUUGUGGGCAGUGAGAUCUCAGGGAAGUCUUGGGGCUAUAAGCUGCAGUCAAGAGUCAGGUUGGGAUUCAGGGGAAGGUUGAAGAGCUGGUUGGUAUAGUUUUGGUUAAUAAAAAGCUAUCGGGAGCUGAGAACGUCAUGGAAGAUUGAGCAAAGAUAGGGCAAAGGUAACACUUCUAACAAAUGGUAUCAGCUCAGAGUUGCUAAACAAUAGAAGUAUACCAGGGAGCUUGAGCUGGACUGUAGUCUUAAGAAUAAGCAGGAAUGCAGUCCUCAAAAAGGAUAUUGAAUACCUGGAAAGUGACCAAAUGUUGAAGUGGUUUGAAUCGGAGUGGCAUUGAUGGGAAAUUCAAUGGGUACAUGUAAAUAGUUGAAAUCCCUUACGAAAAGACAAAGGUUUAACAAGAUUUUGUGAUUCAAAGUAACAAAUGAUGUCUGAGUGGAUUGGGGACAGAUUCAUGGGAUCUGACUUGAUGAUAUCUGUCAUUUAAUGUGCAAGGUGGUGUGUUUGGUCAAAGUUUGUCUCAUUAUACAUAUGUGCACAUUCUAUUAAUAAAGGAUU
Molecule: long non-coding RNA, 6445 nt
Organism: Stegostoma tigrinum
Lineage: Eukaryota; Metazoa; Chordata; Chondrichthyes; Orectolobiformes; Stegostomatidae
Exons: 13
Source: RefSeq, a predicted model, not a curated record